RNAcentral lists this non-coding RNA (168 nucleotides) under human gut metagenome. Its description in RNAcentral is "malK-I RNA". It matches the Rfam family "malK-I RNA". The record is from RNAcentral.
CGCGUCUACUCCACAUAAUAGACGCGGACCGCCGGAAAAGGAGGAAACCCUUCCGCAAGACUUGCGGUGCGGCAGUGUGGAGACCUGCCGUAAUGCGCACCGUUCCAUCGCGGACGGGCGUGAGAUACGUUUGACGGAGGUCAACGUGUUAAAGUCGCUUACAUGGCA